GUGUUUUUUGGUGUAAUUUGGCAAUCGGUAAUUCUGUAUAUUUCACAAUUUGGUUGAGAAACUACAAAUUUUUGUUAUUUAUAAAUUACUUUAGAAAGUGCUAUUAACUACAGACGUUCCCUCAAAAGCGAACGGUAUGUCAUGCAGCUAUGUAGUUUAAAAUAUAUUCAUGCUGGUUUUGUGUAAUAUGUACCAAUUUCGCAUACAAGGCUAAUCAAUGACAAUGACUACAAGACCUGCUUUUGCAGCGCUCAAAUAUUCCCCAAGAUACCUGUACAGAUAAAAUAUAUAUAUAUAUACCCCCCCCCACCCAAGAAAAUGUUGCUGCAUAAUGAAAAGAUAUUACAUUGGCCAUUCACAACACAUUGUUGGGGGGCACAGGGUUGUAGGUGUGAUGGAAGUUCAGGUGGCACAUAACUCC
Paramuricea clavata is the source of this 421-nucleotide non-coding RNA. NCBI's taxonomy places the organism in Eukaryota, Metazoa, Cnidaria, Anthozoa, Malacalcyonacea, Plexauridae. The record is from the annotation of a GenBank genome assembly.